UACAGAGGGCCCAAGCGUUGUUCGGAUUCACUGGGCGUAAAGGGUGCGUAGGUGGUCGGGUAAGUCUGAUGUGAAAUCUCCAAGCUUAACUUGGAAAUGGCAUCGGAUACUAUUCGGCUCGAGGAAUGGAGGGGAGACUGGAAUACUUGGUGUAGCAGUGAAAUGCGUAGAUAUCAAGUGGAACACCAGUGGCGAAGGCGAGUCUCUGGACAUUUCCUGACGCUGAGGCACGAAAGCCAGGGGAGCAAACGGG
Molecule: ribosomal RNA, 253 nt
Filed under: uncultured bacterium
Lineage: Bacteria
Description: partial 16S ribosomal RNA
Rfam family: Bacterial small subunit ribosomal RNA
Source: RNAcentral